AUGCAAUUUCAGGAUUGCUCCAGGAAAUAGCCUGUUGAGAAUUCAGUGCUAGGAGAAAGCUGUGCUUUCCAAAUGAAUCCUAUGCCUUCUAAAAAGACAUCCAUAUGAUCCACAUAUAUUUUCUUUCUUUGCCUUAGCUGCCAGGGAGCUAGCAGUUAAAUUAGGUGGCUCACAGCAAUCAUUAGCUCUUCUCUAUUUUCUCUACAAAUGUAUCUGCAAUAUUUUUUUUUCCAGAGUAAGGUCUUUCUCCCAAUGGAGAAAUCACUUGGGCCACUUCUGCAUCUAGAGUGUCAGACCCAAGCUAGGAAAAAGAAUCAUCUUUAAAAGUAUGUCAUCAGCACUCAAGACCUUUAAUGAGCCAGCGGAAUUGGUCUCCUGGUCCUCUCCUCACUCCACAGAGACUGAAAACUUUGUCAGUUCAUCCCCACGCAAUACUUAUCAAGGACUACCAUGAGUCAGAGAUUCUGCCAGCACUGGGCACAGAAGGAAGAAGGCCUUGUCUGGGACAUCAUGGUGCUUAAAGUCUAGAGAAGUCAACAGGCCAGAAGUCUCAAAUUAAGGUG
Molecule: long non-coding RNA, 563 nt
Filed under: Pan troglodytes (chimpanzee)
Lineage: Eukaryota; Metazoa; Chordata; Mammalia; Primates; Hominidae
Description: lincRNA
Source: RNAcentral